GCCGGCUUAGCUCAGUUGGUAGAGCGGCUGAUUUGUAAUCAGCAGGUCGCGGGUUCGAUCCCUGCAGCCGGCACCA
Molecule: transfer RNA, 76 nt
Filed under: Hyphomicrobiales bacterium
Lineage: Bacteria; Pseudomonadati; Pseudomonadota; Alphaproteobacteria; Hyphomicrobiales
Description: tRNA-Thr
Rfam family: tRNA
About the family: Transfer RNA (tRNA) molecules are approximately 80 nucleotides in length.
Source: RNAcentral